GUUUGUGGCUCAGCGGUAGAGCGCUUGUCUAGCACAUGAGAGGCCCUGGGUUCAAUCCUGAGCACCACA
RNAcentral lists this transfer RNA (69 nucleotides) under Marmota monax (woodchuck). RNAcentral describes it as "tRNA.Ala". The record is from RNAcentral. Lineage: Eukaryota; Metazoa; Chordata; Mammalia; Rodentia; Sciuridae.